UUACCAAAAAUUCAUUUUUUCCAACAAAUAAUUCUUGGAGGGGGGCUGCGUAAGCAUCACAUUUGCAAUGCUGAUAUGAUGCGAAACGGGGCAGAUUAUGCUGCUUACAUUAACACCGCUCAAGAGUUUGAUGGUAGCGAUUCUGGUGCCCACCCUGACAAAGCCAUAUUGUGGGGAAAAAUACGAAGUUCGGCAAAGACUGUCAAGGUACACUGUGAUGCAAUUAUUGCUUUUCCCCUCGUGGUUGCAGAAACAUCAAAGAAAUUUGUCACACAAGUUUGUUCGAAAUAGUACAAGUAAAACAUGUUUAUUGUAUCCGUAACAAAUGUGUUUGAAAUAAGUGGCUUUAGUUCACAAGUUCAUGUGAAAUUGUAUUUUUUUUUCCUUCGUUCAAUAAAAUGGGUUGCCGGGGAUAACCAACUGUAGCAAUCCUCUAAGCUCCCUCUAUUUGCUGAGGAGCCAGGCACGAAGAGCCAGACAAAAAGAGCCCAGACGGGCAUGGCAAAAUCGUGUCUAAUGUAGUCAAGUUCACUUGCAUAAUAAAUCUUGACAAGCCCAUUUCAAAUUGUAUUAGCAACUCUGAAAUUUACUUCUUGUGCUUAUUGGAAACCUCCACAAGUUUUUGAGGUGGUUGCAAAUGGAUUGUACCAAUAAUAUGUGCUUAUUUGAAUUUGAUUACAUUCAUCAUUCACAUAUGAUCAGGAGUCACGAUAGCUUCUCACUUGAAUUUGCAACACAAAUUAUAUAAAGAUUUCACUUGAAUUAACUACAAAUUAGUCUUCAUAGCUCUUGCCAUUACAUGA
Camellia sinensis is the source of this 803-nucleotide non-coding RNA. Lineage: Eukaryota; Viridiplantae; Streptophyta; Magnoliopsida; Ericales; Theaceae. The record is from RefSeq and is a predicted model, not a curated record.